UGGGGAAUUUUGCACAAUGGGCGCAAGCCUGAUGCAGCAACGCCGCGUGAACGAUGAAGGUCUUCGGAUCGUAAAGUUCUGUUGCAGGGGAAGAUAAUGACGGUACCCUGUGAGGAAGCCCCGGCUAACUACGUGCCAGCAGCCGCGGUAAUACGUAGGGGGCUAGCGUUAUCCGGAUUUACUGGGCGUAAAGGGUGCGUAGGUGGUCUUUCAAGUCGGUGGUUAAAGGCUACGGCUCAACCGUAGUUAGCCUCCGAAACUGGAAGACUUGAGUGCAGGAGAGGAAAGUGGAAUUCCCAGUGUAGCGGUGAAAUGCGUAGAUAUUGGGAGGAACACCAGUAGCGAAGGCGGCUUUCUGGACUGCAACUGACACUGAGGCACGAAAGCGUGGGUAGCAAACAGG
RNAcentral lists this ribosomal RNA (403 nucleotides) under Verrucomicrobiota bacterium. Its description in RNAcentral is "Verrucomicrobia bacterium partial 16S ribosomal RNA". It matches the Rfam family "Bacterial small subunit ribosomal RNA", at positions 355 to 776 of the family's 1533-position model. The record is from RNAcentral. Lineage: Bacteria; Pseudomonadati; Verrucomicrobiota.